GACGAACGCUGGCGGCGCGCCUAACACAUGCAAGUCGAACGGAGUUAAAGAGACAGAAGUUUUCGGACGGAAGACUUUUUAACUUAGUGGCGGACGGGUGAGUAACACGUGAGUAACCUGCCUUUCAGAGGGGGAUAACGUUUGGAAACGAACGCUAAUACCGCAUAACAUCAUUUUGGGGCAUCCCGAGAUGAUCAAAGGAGCAAUCUGCUGAGAGAUGGACUCGCGCCUGAUUAGAUAGUUGGUAGGGUAACGGCCUACCAAGUCGACGAUCAGUAGCCGGACUGAGAGGUUGAACGGCCACAUUGGGACUGAGACACGGCCCAG
RNAcentral lists this ribosomal RNA (327 nucleotides) under uncultured bacterium. RNAcentral describes it as "bacterial SSU rRNA". It matches the Rfam family "Bacterial small subunit ribosomal RNA", at positions 28 to 334 of the family's 1533-position model. The record is from RNAcentral.